RNAcentral lists this unclassified non-coding RNA (239 nucleotides) under Rhizophagus sp. (in: glomeromycetes). RNAcentral's name for it is "partial internal transcribed spacer 2". The record is from RNAcentral. Lineage: Eukaryota; Fungi; Glomeromycota; Glomeromycetes; Glomerales; Glomeraceae.
GUGAAUCAUCAAAUUUUUGAACGCAAAUUGCGAUUCCUAGGAGAGGGGGAAGUAUGCCUGUUUGAGGGUCAGUAUUAACAAAAAAAUUGGUUUGGUGGAAAAUUGGGAGGUUUCCGGAGUUUGGGAUAUCUUAACUUUUUUGGUUAAGGGGCUUAAAAUUGAUCUUUUUUGUGCAUUUUUAGACGUACAUAAAUUUUUUUUUUAUUCGUCGAGGCGUAAUGCCAAAUUCUUAGGUGCUG